This is a long non-coding RNA of Physeter macrocephalus (sperm whale), 1566 nucleotides long. RefSeq lists it as uncharacterized. NCBI's taxonomy places the organism in Eukaryota, Metazoa, Chordata, Mammalia, Artiodactyla, Physeteridae. The transcript is spliced from 3 exons. The record is from RefSeq and is a predicted model, not a curated record.
UCCCUACCCCUUUGUAGGUAUUAAAAGAACAGGGUAGCAAGGGAAAAUCAGAAGUUGUCUCUGAUAUAUCUGUAGCUGAAGAAGGAACUAGGGAGGUGCAGCAAGCAGCAUUAUUUCUUCCUCCAGGUGAACUAAUGAAGGCUUAGAAGAAACAGCUGCAUCAUGGCCAGGGUGGCCUAACCUUGUCCUUUCACUUUCAUUAUAUGCUUAUCUGGCCUUCAAGGAGCUGUUGUUGCUGUAUCAAUGGCUGACAGUCAUCACUGCAACCAAGGAAAAUGUCAGCUGGGGGCUCAGCUCUGUGCAGCUUCACUCUGGGACCCAGGCUGCCUGGAGAAUCCCCAUCUGGAGCAUGGCGGUCUCUGUGGGAGAGGGAGAAGAUAGAGUGGUGAACUGCGUGCUGGCUUAUGCCCGAAAGUGACACACGACCCUUCUCCUCACGUGGCACUGGACAAAGUAAGUCAGGUGGCUGCACCCAACUUCAAAAGGUAACAUACCUGUUUUGGCUAUAACAACCUGUGCUGGACCACCUUCCUACACAGAUACUCCUCUCACCCCACCUGGGCUCUGAAAUAUCCUCUUACUGCCUCGACGCCAACAUCUCGCACUAGGCUAUGCCUUUGCAAGAACACUCCCCACCCCCACGUGGGCUCUGAAACCUCCUGCCAGGCUGCCCCUCCUACCCUCAAUCCUCAGCCCACCUGGGCCACCCUGCACUGAGCCAUCCUCUCAGCCUGCUUUGGCUCUGACACUGAGCUAAGCCGACCCUCUGCAGGGGUGGCUCUCUUGAGCUGCUUGGGCCCAACACUGGCACCAGGUAUCCCACUCGUGGGACGCCCUCCUCACCCCACUUUUGCGGUGUUCUAAUUCUUUAAAGAUUUCUAUUAUCUAUGUAUAUAGUAUCAGUUUUUCCUCAAACUAGAGUUCUGUGUAUGUAUUAUUGAUGAUCCAUCAGUAAUAAUGUGUUUUCAUUUCAAUGAUGAUCUAAAAAAAACUUACAUUAUAAAAUAUAAGCAUAUCUGGGAUGUUCGUUUUAUAACCACAUACUUUUAGUGUUGGUGCUUUGUGUUUAAAAUUGGGUUGGUACCGCGUGAUUGUUAAUGUGUCAAUAUUUAACUUUUAAAUUGGUGGUAGUUUUAGAUUGGCAUUCCUGGCAUCAAAAUACAAAAACCAUCUUGAUUUCUGUUCAGUAAAAAUUAUAUUGUGUUUUCUUACCAACUAUAAAUCUAAAACUGCUCAGUGAUGAGAUUUAUGUCUUUAUUCAAUAAAUUAAUUUUGAUUUUCCAUCAUAAAAAUAACCAUGCUACUUUAAUUGUCACAGGCUGAUGAAAAAAGAACUGUGCUGGCUGACUUGAUACACAAAUGAUGCACUCAUGCAAAGUGAAGGCCAAAUGAAUCAUGGCACCAGUAUAAAUGAAGCUUUACAAUAGUUCAAAUAGAGGAAAGUAGAGAGAAAACUGAGUCAUUACAGGUCUCUUGGUAUCAUAGGUUGAACUCAAAAGAAGCUAGGCAAAGCAGUCACAUUUUUCAGAUUAUUGACAGAUGUGUUUGUGUGUGUGUGUUUAUAUG